UACGAAGGGGGCUAGCGUUGCUCGGAAUGACUGGGCGUAAAGGGCGCGUAGGCGGAUGGCACAGUCAGAUGUGAAAUUCCCGGGCUUAACCUGGGGGCUGCAUUUGAUACGUGUGAUCUAGAGUGAGGAAGAGGGUCGUGGAAUUCCCAGUGUAGAGGUGAAAUUCGUAGAUAUUGGGAAGAACACCAGUGGCGAAGGUGGCGACCUGGUCCUUGACUGACGCUGAGGCGCGAAAGCGUGGGGAGCAAACAGG
RNAcentral lists this ribosomal RNA (253 nucleotides) under uncultured bacterium. RNAcentral describes it as "partial 16S ribosomal RNA". It matches the Rfam family "Bacterial small subunit ribosomal RNA", at positions 524 to 776 of the family's 1533-position model. The record is from RNAcentral.